AACAAACAAACAUGUAUAGCAUUCCAUUAGCCUUAAAGUGCUCUAUAAGUGCCAGUGUGGCUUGGAUUGUGGGCUUAGAGCUCUGACUCCUGGACUACUUUGUGGGCUCAUUUUGAAAAUGAAGAAACUGAGACCAACAGAAUUAAGUGAUUCACCCAGAGCCACCCAACUGAUGAGAAAAUUGUCCAGUGUCACACAGUAAAUGCCUGAAGUUGAAUUUAUACUCAAGUUGUCCUGGUUCCAGGUCCAGCAUUCUAUCCUAGAAUCUAACUACAAACAACCCGGGCACCACCUGAUGGUGAUAGGCCAGGAUCUUGAACCCAAGAACUCUGACAAUAGCAUGGGCACUAAGCCACUGGCUCUGAUUCCAACCAUAUCCAGGCAGUCUCAUUGAGGGGAGCAGAUUCUGGGGAAAAGAGACAUGUUCUUCACCAUCACCAAAAUCAACUGCUAACUAAUUGUCACUAAAAAGGA
Molecule: non-coding RNA, 474 nt
Organism: Monodelphis domestica (gray short-tailed opossum)
Lineage: Eukaryota; Metazoa; Chordata; Mammalia; Didelphimorphia; Didelphidae
Source: RefSeq, a predicted model, not a curated record